UGCCCUGCCCAGCUUUAAGGGCUUCUGUCUGCACAGACGCUCAGUGCUGGGAGGAGGACACCCUGCCACGCUGCUGGAGGUGGGGCCCGAAACGUGGAUUUAAUUUGCAGUAAGGCAGGCUGGUGCGGGGAGCAGAAACCUGCCACACGCAUAUGUUCCAAAAGAUCACCUCCAAGAGGAAGUGAGUUUGGGACACAGUCACUUCAGCAAUAGAGCUAAAUUAUAAUUUUGGGGAAAUACCUUCCACAAGCCUCCAGUGGAAGUGGAGCAAGGUGUGCCCCGCUCUCGGCCGUUGGGUGCCCAACUGCAGAUGCUUCCCAUGCUCCCUAACCUGCCCGGCAGGGGCUGUGAGCUCGUUCUCUUUUGUACACCGGGCUCCCACACACCGUGCCUAACGGUGACAGUGAUGGAUAAGGCUCAGAAGGGCCGAGAAUGCCAGCGGCUGACUCUCUCAAAUAGAAAACAUGAAUUGCUUCCAUUACUCUCGUUCUCGCUGAGAGCUCUUUAGAAAACCGUCAGCCGUUCAAAGAACCAGUCUUCAGGCCAGACCCAGUGGGCCCCCAGGAGAGGUGCCCCUUUGUCUGCCUCAGGAGGCUUGUCUGGGUGAAGCACGUGGGACCCGGGCUAGAAAUUGCUUUCACUUUCAUGAUCCUAUUCUGAAGAUUUAUAGAUUUUUAUUUGCAGGCUUAGAGAUGUUCUAGUUUCAAAUUCUACUUUUUGCUCAGUGAAUGAUCCCCCCCUCCCCCCACCCAUUAUGCUUUCCCUACAUUCACAGGGAAGAAGACAUCUUCCCUCCCUUUCUGGCACUAAUGGCAUUCGCAGUCAAAGGUGGUGCUGUGGUUGCAGAUACAGGGUAACCACUGGCUCCCUUUACCCAGAGCCCAAGAAUCCUGAAGUCAUUAUUACGUAAGUUCUGCUCUUAGAUGCCCUUGGACGCUGCUCUGCUGCACAUACACAGCCAUUUUCUCCUGCAUAAAACCUGAAUCCCUGUGCAAGCUCCUUCAGCAUCUCAAAGAUGUUCUGAGGAUGAUAUCAACCAAUGGGAAUGAAAUAUUUUCAGCAAAGUUAAAAGCAUUUACCCAUGAGAGGUAACAUUUAUUAUUUGUUCUCCUUUGCUGGUUCUUAGUGAAAACAGAGAACAGCAGGUCACCUGUGGGUGCAAACCCUUCAUCUACAUGAAGAGUGUUAUUAAGUUGUCCCUCAGAUGUCCCUUCUUUUCAGGCAGACCAGUUCUGCUGUCUCUCCCCUCUGCUCAAAGGCCUUGUUGUUUCCUCUUUUGUCAUCUGUUUCUCUUCUCUGAGCCCUUUGCACAUUGUUUAGCAACAGCCUUUCCUCAAAAUGCUGCCCAAUCCUCUAGAGUUCUGGAACGUAGAAAUGUGCAGAGAGCCUGUGUUACCAUGGGGGUGGUGGUGCUGGGACAUGGCCUCAUGGUCCUAGCCCACCUCCCUCUACAAACAAAGCACCCCCCUGAUGCUUUGGCGCGAGGCUGUGGUCCCUGGGAAAGCUCGGAUGCUUCUGGCUUAUUCUCUCACUUACCUAGUCAUUCGUGUGUUAUUUUCCAUUUCCCUUGUAUGCCAUCUUUUCUUCAUUUCCCUUGGUGUUCCUGGUGAUCUUUUCUAAUCUUCCAACAUCUUUGAUUUCUUUAAUAGAAAAAUUAAUUUAACAUAUUUAUAUAUGCAUAGAAAUUUUGAAUAUAUGAGCAUAAAAAGAUUGGAAGGAGAAACACUAGAAUCUUAAAAGUAGUUUUCUCUGGGAAAUGAGAUUACAAGAGAUUUCAUUUAUUCUCUUCUUGCUUCUCUGAAUACAUAAAUUUUUCUAUGAUUGACACAUCAAUUCCUUAAUCUUUAAGAAAAAGCAAAUUGGAAAUUGGAAAAUUGACUCCCUGCACAGUCACGGACAACCAAAAUCGGAAAUGCUUUUGUCAGGUAAGGUCUCACUACCCUACCUAAGUUUAUAUUCCAGAAGGAUACAAACUGUGCUUGGUUGUAGGAUGACCAGUUGACCUGGUUUGUCUAAGUCUGUCUCAGUUUUAGUGCUGAAAGUUGGCAAACCAGGACCAUUUGCCUCUCCCUACCCCUCAGAUCUCUGUGUCUUCUUUCCUGUUGGACCACCCCGGCUACCUUCUGGUCUCUGUAUGGUACUUCUCAUAUGUAUCUUGCUAUGCCAUGACUGGGGAGGGUCAGCUCAGUUGGACCUUGAGGACAGGAAGAAGCUUCCGAAGCAUCCUUUGAGUCUGUUGAUUCAAGUGAGGCUUAGCAGUAGAGGACAAAUGUGAAGAGGCCAUUGAACAGAACUCCCUACCCAGAAGAGGCAAUGAGAGCAAAGCCUUCCAGAUGCCAGGAAAAGAUGGAGUCUCAGGGAAAGAGUCAAUGCUGCUAAGGGAGCUGUUGAGAGUGCUCCUUUCCUGGUUCUUAAAAAUUUGUGGUAAUGUCUCUCUCUGGGGAAGGAGGGAGGGAGGGCGGACAGAGAGGAAUUAACAGUCCAGGCCCUCUUCUCCUUGAUGUAAAUUAUUUAGGGACUUCUGUUAGCUUUAUUUUACUUUAAAUAUGUUCUCCCUUUUACUUUAAAUAUGUUCUAUUUACCUAUCUAGAGAUCUAAGUUUACAAAGGUUUUAGUCAAAAUCAGUGGUACUCAAUUCUGGCUGCACAAGAAAAUCACCUGAGAAGUUCCUGAAAUGCUAAGGGCUCACCCUAGACCACUAAAUUUAGAAUCUCUAACAAGGGAACCAAAGG
Molecule: long non-coding RNA, 2732 nt
Organism: Manis pentadactyla (Chinese pangolin)
Lineage: Eukaryota; Metazoa; Chordata; Mammalia; Pholidota; Manidae
Exons: 3
Source: RefSeq, a predicted model, not a curated record